Molecule: non-coding RNA, 24 nt
Filed under: Arabidopsis thaliana (thale cress)
Lineage: Eukaryota; Viridiplantae; Streptophyta; Magnoliopsida; Brassicales; Brassicaceae
Source: RNAcentral
GAACAAGAAGUGAAUGUAUUAGAG